RNAcentral lists this long non-coding RNA (1095 nucleotides) under Paramuricea clavata. The record is from RNAcentral. Lineage: Eukaryota; Metazoa; Cnidaria; Anthozoa; Malacalcyonacea; Plexauridae.
GUUUAAUGACUAAUACUCCUCAUUUCAUGAUAUUACUUUGUAAUAUUAUUUUUGCGUGAAUUUCACCCAAAUCAGUGUUCAGACACUGUCAAUGAUGUCGGCGGAGCGUUAUAAGACGAUAACAAUUAAAUGUUUGUGUGUUUUUCAGUGCAUAAUUUUGUGAUAAUUUUGCUCAAACUUUCCAGGUGAUGUGGUUAUACUAAUACGACCCGUAGUGACGUCAACUGAGGUCGUAUUAGUUCUAAUACGACCUGUACAUUUGAGUAGGCGAGUGAAUUAGUUACUAAUACAGCACAAUAGAACAAUAGAAAUUCACGCAAACAUGAUAUUACAACAAAAUAUCGAUAACUAUGUGUGACGUUUCUAGGGGGGGGGGUCUCCAGAGAAACGUCCACAUGACGUUUCUCGUUGACAAUAACAGAUAGUGAUAUAACAGAUAUCCUUUUAACAAGAACUUAAAGUAUACUGCAACUAAUCCUAGCUUGUUCAGCUAAUCGACUAAGAAAAAAUGACAAUAAUUCUAUAAUACUGUCAUAAAUUAUUUCCUCAGACUUUCUUAGACUUGUAAAAAUAUUCCUGCAUUGAUGGCAGCCACCUAUUUUCUCACCACAAUCUCUUUAAUUUAAAUGACUGAAAUCUUAACAACAUUUAUCUCUCUAAACUUUCAAACACGAUGUAUUUUUGCAGACACAUUACGAAGUUUGAAUUUUGCUCGCAGACAUUAAAUAAUAGCUCUGGACACCAGUCCUAUAGACCCUACCAGAGAAAACACAUAACGUUGGGCCAACAGGGCCGCCGAGAGGGCCCCAUGACAUCAUUAUCUUUAAGCUAGACCCAAGUCAGUCACCCAACUAGACCUUAGCUCGAUUUCAAAAAUGCUCUGACCACUUUAAAGAACCUAUUCAAUUUUAGGCUCUCGUUCUCAAGUUGGGGCCCUAUUAAGGUGGGGGCCCAGGGCAAUUUGCCCCCCUCUCGGCAGCCCUGUGGGCCAACAUUUCAUUCCAUUCAUAAUGUAACACAAUAUUAAAGGGAAAUGGCACCAUAUUUUUUUAUUUUCUCAUCAGAACCUUUAAGUACUAUUUAAAGCACGCGUAG